Molecule: ribosomal RNA, 496 nt
Filed under: uncultured bacterium
Lineage: Bacteria
Description: partial 16S ribosomal RNA
Rfam family: Bacterial small subunit ribosomal RNA
Source: RNAcentral
GAUGAACGCUGGCGGCGUGCCUAAUACAUGCAAGUCGAGCGAACGGACGAGAAGCUUGCUUCUCUGAUGUUAGCGGCGGACGGGUGAGUAACACGUGGAUAACCUACCUAUAAGACUGGGAUAACUUCGGGAAACCGGAGCUAAUACCGGAUAAUAUUUUGAACCGCAUGGUUCAAAAGUGAAAGACGGUCUUGCUGUCACUUAUAGAUGGAUCCGCGCUGCAUUAGCUAGUUGGUAAGGUAACGGCUUACCAAGGCAACGAUGCAUAGCCGACCUGAGAGGGUGAUCGGCCACACUGUAACUGAGACGCGGUCCAGACUCCUACGGGAGGCAGCAGUAGGGAAUCUUCCGCGAUGGGCGAAAGCCUGACGGAGCAACGCCGCGUGAGUGAUGAAGGUCUUCGGAUCGUAAAACUCUGUUAUUAGGGAAGAACAUAUGUGUAAGUAACUGUGCACAUCUUGACGGUACCUAAUCAGAAAGCCACGGCUAACUACGU